Molecule: ribosomal RNA, 279 nt
Filed under: uncultured bacterium
Lineage: Bacteria
Description: partial 16S ribosomal RNA
Rfam family: Bacterial small subunit ribosomal RNA
Source: RNAcentral
CUUGCUUUCUUUGCUGGCGACCGGCGCACGGGUGAGUAACGCGUAUCCAACCUACCCUUUACUCGGGGAUAGCCUUUCGAAAGAAAGAUUAAUACCCGAUAGCAUAAUGAUUCCGCAUGGUUUCAUUAUUAAAGGAUUCCGGUAAAGGAUGGGGAUGCGUUCCAUUAGGUUGUUGGUGAGGUAACGGCUCACCAAGCCUUCGAUGGAUAGGGGUUCUGAGAGGAAGGUCCCCCACAUUGGAACUGAGACACGGUCCAAACUCCUACGGGAGGCAGCAUG